CUGUCUUGUUCAUGCUGAUGUGCGACGGAGUCCGUGAACAGGACAGAAAGUUUGAGACGUCCAUCGCACCACAAAAGCUUUUACAAGCUGUGUGGCCCGAACACGGGAGAGAACGCUGAGCGUUACAAC
Regulatory RNA element from Corynebacterium sp. KPL1821, 129 nucleotides. It matches the Rfam family "atpB RNA". The record is from Rfam. NCBI's taxonomy places the organism in Bacteria, Bacillati, Actinomycetota, Actinomycetes, Mycobacteriales, Corynebacteriaceae.